This 545-nucleotide unclassified non-coding RNA is filed under the name Dirofilaria immitis (dog heartworm nematode). RNAcentral describes it as "sequence contains 5.8S rRNA gene and ITS2". Lineage: Eukaryota; Metazoa; Nematoda; Chromadorea; Rhabditida; Onchocercidae. The record is from RNAcentral.
CCACGCAGACCGAUGCAAUCGCAACUACGGGUUGAAACCGAUGGUACGUCUGGUUGAGGGUCAAUAUCGAUCAGAUUAUCAAAUAAUAUACCAAAAUUGAUACAUAUGAUACAUAUGAAUGAUAUAUGUUUUGGAUAUAUUAUUUGUUAAAAUUAAUUCAUCAGGUGAUGAUGUGAUGAUAAUCAUUGAAAAAUGACAAAAAUCCCCUGAUUAAGUAUGAUAAAAAUAGUAAGUAAAAAAGGCAAAUUUUUUUUACUUACAAAAUAUUUACUUAUAGUAAUAAAUAAUUUCUUCUUUCAUAUAUAUAACUGAGACCCAUAAAAAAAAAAAAAAAAAAAAAAAAAAUAUAAAUAUUAUUAUUAUUUUUUGUUAUCAUUAUUGUUAUACUUAUUACCCUGCUUUUAUAACAAAAAAAAUAACAAAAAAAAAAAAAAAAUAAUAAAUAUAAAACAUACAACCAUAAUAUAUAUUUUUUUUUUCUCUUUUUCAUCUUCACUCACAUCUAAAAACGGCUAAUAACAAAAAAAAACCCCCCCCCAAAAAAA